GGAAGGCAGCAGUGGGGAAUAUUGCACAAUGGGCGAAAGCCUGAUGCAGCAACGCCGCGUGAGGGAAGACGGUUUUCGGAUUGUAAACCUCUGUCUUUGGUGAAGAAUAAUGACAUUAGCCGAGGAGGAAGCCACGGCUAACUACGUGCCAGCAGCCGCGGUAAUACGUAGGUGGCAAGCGUUAUCCGGAAUUACUGGGUGUAAAGGGAGCGCAGGCGGGAAAGCAAGUCAGCGGUGAAAUGUAUGGGCUCAACCCAUGAACUGCCGUUGAAACUGUUUUUCUUGAGUGGAGUAGAGGCAAGCGGAAUUCCGAGUGUAGCGGUGAAAUGCGUAGAUAUUCGGAGGAACACCAGUGGCGAAGGCGGCUUGCUGGGCUCUAACUGACGCUGAGGCUCGAAAGUGUGGGGAGCAAACAGGAUUAGAUACCCUGGUA
RNAcentral lists this ribosomal RNA (433 nucleotides) under uncultured Oscillospiraceae bacterium. Its description in RNAcentral is "partial 16S ribosomal RNA". It matches the Rfam family "Bacterial small subunit ribosomal RNA", at positions 343 to 792 of the family's 1533-position model. Lineage: Bacteria; Bacillati; Bacillota; Clostridia; Eubacteriales; Oscillospiraceae. The record is from RNAcentral.